Panthera uncia (snow leopard) is the source of this 102-nucleotide small nuclear RNA. The record is from RefSeq and is a predicted model, not a curated record. Lineage: Eukaryota; Metazoa; Chordata; Mammalia; Carnivora; Felidae.
AACAGUAACGCUCGGUUUGACAGCACAUGGAAUGAUACAGAGAAGAUCACAUGGCCUCCAUGCAAGGAUGACCCACAAAUUCACGAAUGUUCCAUAUUUUUU